AGGCAGUGUAUUUUUCUGAAAUAAAAUUAUUUAAAGUACAUCUUGACUCAUCAAGAAACAUGUGUAGUGGGGUGUGUGUCGUGGUUAAAACGUCACCCUUAUUAACUACGUGGCCAAUGGGCUCGCUCCCUACCACAGUACAAUGGUCGUUGAGGCUUCUAAGAAUGCGUCAUGGUCGAAAACCUGCCCCUUUCCUUUCGUUGCUACGGACUACAGCGUGUGACGUUAGGCUACUGAGACUGUGUGCAGGUGUGAUGUGCUGCUCACAAUCAGUGCGCUGUGACGUCAAGGCUCCCAGCUGUGUAGCAUGGUAACUUAACGUAGCUCCGGUCGGAGCGCCAGCUGUCGUCGUCACAACUAUUAAAGACGCUAUCAUGACUUUCGUAUGUACCAUCGUGAGUAUCAUGUCCUCGGACCACGGGCCACAGCGGAUCACAGGAUGUGUGAAACGUAACGAACUCCAAGGUCUGUCUGUGUUUGGUCAAAUGGAUGCACUUCUUCCAGGUCCUCAUUCUCUGCAUCUGGAAUGACUACACACCCUUCUGCAAUUCAGGCUUUCAGCAGUCCCACUGGCAGAUCAUCUUGAUGCAGUGUGCAACAUCAACCUGAACAAAACAAGGUGGCACUUGUUAACACUUUACCAAGUAAGACAACACUCAUUGAUGUAGGUCUUCAGAUCAGGAUGAGGAGUAAAUGCCUUGACCAGAGCUCUAAGCAAAGCCAGAGAAAAGUCACUCACAACCUCUUUUGGAAUUGGUGCACCUGCACGUAUCCAUUCUGUAAGCCAAUGUGUUAUUGCAUUAACAUCGUGUCUCUCUGACAGCAUUUGCACCACUGGGACACUUGAAUUCUCAUCCCCUGCCAGAACACCCUGAUAAGAUAUGGCCAGACAUGCCAUUAGGUCUCAGUUUCCUCACCACUGAGCCAGUUGCAUCAAAACUCAGUGGGGUUAGUAGACUUCUUUGAUAAUGACUUGCUGAGUGACCCCAGAAUGACCUUUGGAAUAUCCUUUUAAUACCCCCUGAACCAUUGCAGCACAAAUUAAACUUUUUACAGCACAAACAUUGCUGCUUGGUUCUUGCCUGCUGCUGUUUGGUUAUGUGUUGGUUACUAUCACUGAGAUCUGUUUUCUUUCAUUCAACUGUGUUGUAUCAGUUAUGCUGAUUCUUCUAUAGGGUAGUGGUUUUGGUCAGCUUUGGUAAACUUGCUACUUGUAAUCAGUGUGUGUGUGUGUGUGUGGGGGGGGGGGGGGUUAUCUGUGGUUUUUUUGUUUUAUUCUUUUGUUUGUCUGUCUUGUGUAUAUUGUAAUUGUGUGGGGUUGUCUUCCUCCCUUGUAGGAGCUGAGUUUCCUGAGGGGGGGUUCUUUGCUGCACCUUUCAGGCUUUUGUUGUGGAUAAAAAUGACAUGAAAUAAACACGAGGGAGAUUGAGUAUGAGUAAAAAUGUAAUUUUAUUGGUAAUUCACAGGACGGGUGGGUGCGUAGUCUGGAGGAGAGUAAGAGGGGGAGGAAAAUGGGGUGCGUCCUGGGGACAUGGGGAAAUCAGGGUGGGUGAAGUGAGCGGACCACUGAGAGUCGGGCGGACUGGUGGGUGAGAAGAGGGACGGAUGGUCG
Molecule: long non-coding RNA, 1612 nt
Organism: Ictalurus punctatus (channel catfish)
Lineage: Eukaryota; Metazoa; Chordata; Actinopteri; Siluriformes; Ictaluridae
Source: Ensembl